RNAcentral lists this ribosomal RNA (440 nucleotides) under uncultured bacterium. Its description in RNAcentral is "bacterial SSU rRNA". It matches the Rfam family "Bacterial small subunit ribosomal RNA", at positions 338 to 795 of the family's 1533-position model. The record is from RNAcentral.
CCUACGGGAGGCAGCAGUAGGGAAUCUUGCACAAUGGGCGAAAGCCUGAUGCAGCCAUGCCGCGUGAGUGAAGAAGGCUCUAGGGUUGUAAAACUCUUUCAGCGGGGAAGAUAAUGACGGUACCCGCAGAAGAAGCCCCGGCUAACUCCGUGCCAGCAGCCGCGGUAAUACGGAGGGGGCUAGCGUUGUUCGGAAUUACUGGGCGUAAAGCGCGCGUAGGCGGACUAGUAAGUCAGUGGUGAAAGCCCGGGGCUCAACCUCGGAACUGCCUUUGAUACUGCUAGUCUUGAGUUCGAGAGAGGUGAGUGGAAUUUCUAGUGUAGAGGUGAAAUUCGUAGAUAUUAGAAAGAACACCAGUGGCGAAGGCGGCUCACUGGCUCGAUACUGACGCUGAGGUGCGAAAGCGUGGGGAGCAAACAGGAUUAGAUACCCUUGUAGUC